AUUGAACGCUGACGGCAGGCUUAACACAUGCAAGUCGAGCGAGCGGCGGACGGGUGAGUAAUGUCUGGGAAACUGCCUGAUGGAGGGGGAUAACUACUGGAAACGGUAGCUAAUACCGCAUACCAUCAGAUGUGCCCAGAUGGGAUUAGCUAGUAGGUGGGGUAAGGGCUCACCUAGGCGACGAUCCCUAGCUGGUCUGAGAGGUUGACCAGCCACACGGUAACGGAUACACUGUGCAGACUCAUACGGGAGGCAGCAGUGGGGAAUAUGGCACAAUGGGGGCAAGCCUGAUGCAGCCAUGCCGCGUGUGUGAAGAAGGCCUUCGGGUUGUAAAGCACUUUCAGCGAGGAGUCGUUACUCGCAGAAGAAGCACCGGCUAACGCCGUGUCAGCAGCCGCGGUAAUAC
This 406-nucleotide ribosomal RNA is filed under the name uncultured bacterium. RNAcentral's name for it is "partial 16S ribosomal RNA". It matches the Rfam family "Bacterial small subunit ribosomal RNA", at positions 30 to 526 of the family's 1533-position model. The record is from RNAcentral.